GAGUUUGAUCCUGGCUCAGGACGAACGCUGGCGGCGUGCUUAACACAUGCAAGUCGAGCGAUGAAGCUUCCUUCGGGAAGUGGAUUAGCGGCGGACGGGUGAGUAACACGUGGGUAACCUGCCUCAAAGUGGGGGAUAGCCUUCCGAAAGGAAGAUUAAUACCGCAUAAUAUAAGAGAAUCGCAUGAUUUUCUUAUCAAAGAUUUAUUGCUUUGAGAUGGACCCGCGGCGCAUUAGCUAGUUGGUAAGGUAACGGCUUACCAAGGCAACGAUGCGUAGCCGACCUGAGAGGGUGAUCGGCCACAUUGGAACUGAGACACGGUCCAGACUCCUACGGGAGGCAGCAGUGGGGAAUAUUGCGCAAUGGGGGAAACCCUGACGCAGCAACGCCGCGUGGGUGAUGAAGGUCUUCGGAUUGUAAAGCCCUGUUUUCUAGGACGAUAAUGACGGUACUAGAGGAGGAAGCCACGGCUAACUACGUGCCAGCAGCCGCGGUAAUACGUAGGUGGCGAGCGUUGUCCGGAUUUACUGGGCGUAAAGGGUGCGUAGGCGGAUGUUUAAGUGGGAUGUGAAAUCCCCGGGCUUAACCUGGGGGCUGCAUUCCAAACUGGAUAUCUAGAGUGCAGGAGAGGAAAGCGGAAUUCCUAGUGUAGCGGUGAAAUGCGUAGAGAUUAGGAAGAACACCAGUGGCGAAGGCGGCUUUCUGGACUGUAACUGACGCUGAGGCACGAAAGCGUGGGUAGCAAACAGGAUUAGAUACCCUGGUAGUCCACGCCGUAAACGAUGGAUACUAGGUGUAGGGGGUAUCAACUCCCCCUGUGCCGCAGUUAACACAAUAAGUAUCCCGCCUGGGGAGUACGGUCGCAAGAUUAAAACUCAAAGGAAUUGACGGGGGCCCGCACAAGCAGCGGAGCAUGUGGUUUAAUUCGAAGCAACGCGAAGAACCUUACCUGGACUUGACAUCCCUUGCAUAGCCUAGAGAUAGGUGAAGCCCUUCGGGGCAAGGAGACAGGUGGUGCAUGGUUGUCGUCAGCUCGUGUCGUGAGAUGUUAGGUUAAGUCCUGCAACGAGCGCAACCCUUGUUAUUAGUUGCUACCAUUAAGUUGAGCACUCUAAUGAGACUGCCUGGGUAACCAGGAGGAAGGUGGGGAUGACGUCAAAUCAUCAUGCCCCUUAUGUCCAGGGCUACACACGUGCUACAAUGGUAGGUACAAUAAGACGCAAGACCGUGAGGUGGAGCAAAACUUAUAAAACCUAUCUCAGUUCGGAUUGUAGGCUGCAACUCGCCUACAUGAAGCUGGAGUUGCUAGUAAUCGCGAAUCAGAAUGUCGCGGUGAAUACGUUCCCGGGCCUUGUACACACCGCCCGUCACACCAUGAGAGCUGGUAACACCCGAAGUCCGUGAGGUAACCGUAAGGAACCAGCGGCCGAAGGUGGGAUUAGUGAUUGGGGUGAAGUCGUAACAAGGUAGCCGUAGGAGAACCUGCGGCUGGAUCACC
Molecule: ribosomal RNA, 1498 nt
Filed under: Clostridium botulinum
Lineage: Bacteria; Bacillati; Bacillota; Clostridia; Eubacteriales; Clostridiaceae
Also listed under: 1 other name
Description: bacterial SSU rRNA
Rfam family: Bacterial small subunit ribosomal RNA
Source: RNAcentral